ACUAAAAUCAAUAAUAAAAAUUGAUAACAUAAGGGAAAAUAAUGAUAUUACCUUAUUAUUAGUGUCGUCCAAAUCUGGUGCCAGAAGACUCGGUAAGGCCAGAGACACAAACGUUAAUCGUCUUAAUCAGGCGUAAAGGGUUUGUAGGCGGCUUUUAAAUUUACUUAUAAUUAAUAAAUCUUAAUAAAGAUAAAAAAUAAGUUAAGAAUAAAAGCUAGAAUCAAAUAGAGGAUACAUCAAAUAAUGCUUAGAGUAGGUCUGAUAUCCUUAGAUACUAAGUAGAAUAUUAAAGGCGAAAGCUUUUUUCCAUUAAUGAUUGACGCUCAGAAACGAAAGUGAGGAUAGGAAAUAGGAUUAGAUACCCAAAAUACCCCUCUCUGUCAACGAUGAAUGGUAGUUAUUAGUAAUAAAUUUAUUAAUGGCAAUGUUAACACGAUAACCAUUCCGCCUUGUGAGUACAACUGCAAAGUUGAAAACAAAAAAAUUAGUCGGUUUCGGAGCAAACGAAGUGAAGCAUGUUAUUUAAUUCAAUAAAUCCGCAAAA
RNAcentral lists this ribosomal RNA (544 nucleotides) under Russula sp. RNAcentral's name for it is "partial small subunit ribosomal RNA". It matches the Rfam family "Bacterial small subunit ribosomal RNA", at positions 425 to 968 of the family's 1533-position model. The record is from RNAcentral. Lineage: Eukaryota; Fungi; Basidiomycota; Agaricomycetes; Russulales; Russulaceae.